This is an RNA transcript of Vicia villosa (hairy vetch), 1437 nucleotides long. RefSeq lists it as uncharacterized. The record is from RefSeq and is a predicted model, not a curated record. NCBI's taxonomy places the organism in Eukaryota, Viridiplantae, Streptophyta, Magnoliopsida, Fabales, Fabaceae. The transcript has 7 exons.
UUCAAGUUCCUGGUUACUGACACAGUGGAUGGACCCGAUGCUUCCUCAAAAUGCAUUCGUGUGAGAUUGAUUUCUGGUAAAUCCAAUAACAAAGACAAAAACUCUAGGAAACAAAAAGAAAGAGAUGCAGGCAAGUUCCUUAGAUAUGGAUGAAGCACUGGAAGCUGAAUACAAUAGUCUUCUUGAUGACAUGGUAUUGCUUGUUGCCCAGAAGGGUGACCAGGCCAUGCGAAUGUCCCUUGAAGAUGCGAAUUUCCAAGUGUGUUUUGGGAUGAUGUUGUUGACUACUUUGAAGCAACAGCUGAGGAGACAAGCAAAUAAUAAAGAGGUGAGCAAAGAGAGUAUCAUUUUUGUUUUACUAAAUUCACCAAGUUUUGAAAUUGAGGCUUCCGAGUUCCGACCGGAAAUAUGGACUUCAAUUUAAGUAUUGUCUUUACUAACACAUAUUUUAUUCAGUCAUUACCUGAAAGUGAUAUCAACUCUUGAUUGCAUUUCAUAUUCGGUGUUGGUGAUGAUAUAUUCCCACUUUUAUAUAUUGUGUUAAGUUGCUCAUUGUUAUUGGGUGAAUGUUUCUACUGAUGUGAUUUAUAGAUUUCAUCUUUAUAAGGAGAACAAAGAUACCCAGGAAGCUUUAGAGGUGCUUCGACAUAUGCUUGGCAUCAGGAUGUGUUUUGCUCAUUUUGGAUAUAUUUAAUUAGAAGGCAUUCUGUUGAUGAUUAAUUAUGUGUAUGUUUGGAAAUGUGUUUGACUCGUCGCCACCACAAAAACUGAAUGUCUUGGCCAAUUACGUUAAUGAAGGAUUAUGUCUUGGCCAGCUACUGGGAAACAGAUUUGCAAUCACUUUGCGCAAAUCUCCAGUUUCCUAUUGUGCUAGUGGUGUUUGGCUAUGAAGCAGUGAAAUUGUACAAGGAUUAUUUGCAUGGGAAAGAAAGCUCUAUGAUGAAGUCAUGAACAUGAGCAAUAUCUUUUUCAAGGUGUGGAGAUUUCAGAAGUGGAACAGCGUGACCUAAGUCAUUACGGCGUCCUGAUGGGGAUAUCAGUUGGAGUUUUUUGGCUUGUCUCAUUGGUAAAUAUAGGCCUGAUAUUAAGGGGAGUUUCUGCAAUAGUCUGCUAUGAUGGUGCUGCAAAGCAGCUGGUAUGACAGGAUUUUGGCUCUCUGCCACUGCCACAGACCGCUAUCUGCCGUAGACAACACUGGUCUCUCUUUCAUGCAAAGAGGCAUAGAAAAUACUCAUUUUCCUGUGAUACCUUGACCAAAGAUGCUACUUAACUUUGAUUUUACCUCCUGUAUUGAUUCAUUUUGAUCAUGCGCAUGCGAUUGAAGUUCUCAGUAAGCUUGGUUUGGAGGAGUGCUUUGAGGGCAUCAUAUGCUUUGAAACGCUUAAUCCUCUCAACUCUUGUCGAGAAAUCCUCUGCAAACCAUCUGUUGAAGCCUUU